RNAcentral lists this long non-coding RNA (1359 nucleotides) under Apteryx rowi (Okarito brown kiwi). Its description in RNAcentral is "lncRNA (ENSARWG00000005071.1)". Lineage: Eukaryota; Metazoa; Chordata; Aves; Apterygiformes; Apterygidae. The record is from RNAcentral.
CUGGGGACAAAGGGGAAGGGAAAGCCCUCUGUGCAGGAAGGGCAAGCUGGUGUCUGGGGGAGGUGAGUGCUGGAGAGACCCUCAGCCCUUGACACGAUGUGUCCCCAUCCCUUGGCAGGUCAAGCAGGCUGUCCUCAGGGCGAUGGGUGCCAUGAUGGGUGUCUUCCUGCAUGUGGAGGAGCACCGCGAGCACACCUGGGAGCAGCUCCUUUGGCUAUCAAGUUGGGAGAGGACUGUGGAGGGGCUGAUGCCUUUGGGUGUACAAUGUCCUUAGGCAAGCAGUGCCUUAGAGGGAGAAAGCCAAGGCUCCAGUGGGCUGCAAGGCGUCCAAGAAGUCCAGGACGCCUUCAGGGUGACUAUGCCCGAAUUUGCCCAGAAGAGACAGUUGUGUUCCUCCAGCCUGAGCUGAGCAGUGGGUGUGAGGCCAGUUGCGUGGCAGCUGUGGAUCUGCUGCAAGCUCUGGUCCGCUCUGAAGGAGGCGAUUCAGGAGGAGCCCCAGGAGUCCCUGUUGUGCCCCCAGGCCAUCAUGGUCAUGGAGCAGUUGAGGUAGGGUCUGUCCCCGGGCUGUGGGAGUCGCUGCGUGUCCCAGCCCAGCUGGCUGGUGUGGCUGGGGCUGCGGGUGUUGGAUUUGGGGCUGUCGAUUGGGACAAAGCCAGUCGUCCUUUGACUCGCUCUGGAGAGUGCUAGUAAGCCCCCUUUCUGUUUUCUCUCCUUUUUUUCUCCUGGCAGCAAGCUGCAGCCCCAUCUGAGCAGGGAGGAAAACUGCAGCCUCCUGGCUCAGUGCUGCCAGGGCAUCGUGUGCCUUCGUCACCUGGAGCAGAUGGAAGAGGAAGGGGAGGUGGCGGCAGCUCCUGCAUGCGCAUGAGUACCCGCUGACCCUUCUCAGCUGCCCCUCGGUGGGGGCCCAGCCAUGGGCGCCCCAUGCUCUGGCAGCCACUGGCCACGCUGGUGUCUCCGUGGGGUGCCCAGCCUCAGUCCCCCUUUCUGGUGUCAGGAUGUGCAUGCGCUGUCCCUGCAAGUGCUGGGCCAGCUCAUGGCAGCCCUUCUCCAGACAGAGCUGGCCCCUGCCUGCUUUGAGGAUGUGGUGCAGGUGAGUGUCCCUGGGGUGGCAGGGAAAGCAUUGCCGCUGCCAGAGUGGGGCAGAGCUGUGGGGGAUCCCGCCUGCAGGGCUGGUCCGAGGAGGGGAGCUUGCCUGUAACUAGGUGCAACACCCCAAAUUGGCAGAGAGUGAAAUGGUCCUGGUUUCAGGCCCCCUUGCCCAAAUUUUGCAUCCAAGCUUUUCCCAUCGGCAGCAGCUUCCUUGCAGGCAGCUUGCAGUGUCCUGCAGAGUCCCCUAGAUGAGCUAGAGCUUCUCCCCAG